GCGUGAGGUCGAUGGUUCGAGUCCAUUUAGGCCCAUCCACGGCCGCACAGACCGGAGUAACAUGGGGAAUUAGCUCAGAUGGGAGAGCACCUGCUUUGCAAGCAGGGGGUCAGCGGUUCGAUCCCGCUAUUCUCCAUUGACACGCAAGUGUCAAACUUGGUUCUUUGAAAACUAGAUAAUAUUAAUUUUCUGUAAUAAUUUUUUGAAAUUGGAUUUCAUAUAAUUUCCACCGAAAACACCGCGUUAUUUUGAGUUUGUUAACUAAAAAAAAACUCAAAAACUCAAUUUUAUUUGCAUCACCUCUCGAGGUACAGGUUAAAUUUAAAAAGGGGCAUGGGGAAAGCGUUGGGACUAGAAACCCAUAAAAGAGGGGACUAAAACCCAUAUGCUUCUGGGAGAUGUACGUAAACUUUUAUCCCGAGAUUUUCCAAAGGGGAAACCCCCCACCUUUUAUCACCUGUUACUAUAUAUUGAAUUCUUAUCUAUAUAUAGGUAUACAUGGGGAAAUGAAACAUCUCACUACCCCCAGGAGCACAAAGAAAUUUUUAUUCCCUAAAUAUCGGCGAGAGAACGGGGAACAGCCCAAACCCACGAGCUUGCUCGCUGGGGUUGUAUGACUGAACAUUUGAGUUACCCAAGUUGUUGAUAAUCUCACAAUCUGGGAAAGUUGGCGAAACACGGUGAGAGCCCCGUAUGUGAAAUCUCUGACCCUCACUUCACGAGACUGAGUACAGCGACACACGUGAAACGUCUUCUGAGUCCCGGAGGACCCUCUCCCAAGCUAUAUACUCUCUAUUGACAGAUAGUGAAAACUACGAGGGGGGGG
RNAcentral lists this small RNA (826 nucleotides) under Lentilactobacillus parabuchneri. RNAcentral describes it as "bacterial LSU rRNA". The stretch from base 314 to 826 matches the Rfam family "Bacterial large subunit ribosomal RNA", at positions 1 to 514 of the family's 2925-position model. Lineage: Bacteria; Bacillati; Bacillota; Bacilli; Lactobacillales; Lactobacillaceae. The record is from RNAcentral.